AAUCCAUAGGUUAAUGAGGCGAACCGGGGGAACUGAAACAUCUAAGUACCCCGAGGAAAAGAAAUCAACCGAGAUUCCCCCAGUAGCGGCGAGCGAACGGGGAGGAGCCCAGAGCCUGAAUCAGCAUGUGUGUUAGUGGAAGCGUCUGGAAAGGCGCGCGAUACAGGGUGACAGCCCCGUACACAAAAGCGCAUGUGCUGUGAGCUCGAUGAGUAGGGCGGGACACGUGGUAUCCUGUCUGAAUAUGGGGGGACCAUCCUCCAAGGCUAAAUACUCCUGACUGACCGAUAGUGAACCAGUACCGUGAGGGAAAGGCGAAAAGAACCCCGGCGAGGGGAGUGAAAAAGAACCUGAAACCGUGUACGUACAAGCAGUGGGAGCACCCUUUGGGGUGUGACUGCGUACCUUUUGUAUAAUGGGUCAGCGACUUAUAUUCUGUAGCAAGGUUAACCGUAUAGGGGAGCCGCAGGGAAACCGAGUCUUAACCGGGCGUUAAGUUGCAGGGUAUAGACCCGAAACCCGGUGAUCUAGCCAUGGGCAGGUUGAAGGUUGGGUAACACUAACUGGAGGACCGAACCGACUAAUGUUGAAAAAUUAGCGGAUGACCUGUGGCUGGGGGUGAAAGGCCAAUCAAACCGGGAGAUAGCUGGUUCUCCCCGAAAGCU
Molecule: ribosomal RNA, 665 nt
Filed under: Salmonella enterica subsp. enterica
Lineage: Bacteria; Pseudomonadati; Pseudomonadota; Gammaproteobacteria; Enterobacterales; Enterobacteriaceae
Also listed under: 3 other names
Description: partial 23S ribosomal RNA
Rfam family: Bacterial large subunit ribosomal RNA
Source: RNAcentral